CCUACGGGUGGCUGCAGUGGGGGAUAUUGCACAAUGGGGGGAACCCUGAUGCAGCGACGCCGCGUGGGCGAUGGAGUGCUUCGGCGCGUAAAGCCCUAUCAGCAGGGAAGAAAAUGACGGUACCUGACUAAGAAGCCCCGGCUAACUACGUGCCAGCAGCCGCGGUAAUACGUAGGGGGCAAGCGUUAUCCGGAUUUACUGGGUGUAAAGGGGGCGUAGGCGGCCUGGCAAGCCAGAUGUGAAAGCCCGGGGCCCAACCCCGGGGCUGCAUUGGGAACUGCCAGGCUGGAGUGCCGGAGGGGCAGGCGGAAUUCCUAGUGUAGCGGUGAAAUGCGUAGAUAUUAGGAGGAACACCAGUGGCGAAGGCGGCCUGCUGGACUGUGACUGACGUUGAGGCUCGAAAGCGUGGGGAGCAAACAGGAUUAGAUACCCGAGUAGUC
Molecule: ribosomal RNA, 440 nt
Filed under: uncultured bacterium
Lineage: Bacteria
Description: partial 16S ribosomal RNA
Rfam family: Bacterial small subunit ribosomal RNA
Source: RNAcentral